RNAcentral lists this ribosomal RNA (290 nucleotides) under uncultured bacterium. Its description in RNAcentral is "partial 16S ribosomal RNA". It matches the Rfam family "Archaeal small subunit ribosomal RNA", at positions 456 to 746 of the family's 1478-position model. The record is from RNAcentral.
UGCCGCCGCCGCGGUAAUACCGGCAGCCCGAGUGAUGGCCGAUAUUAUUGGGCCUAAAGCGUCCGUAGCUGGCCGAACAAGUCCGUCGGGAAAUCCACGUGCUUAACACGUGGGCGACCGGCGGAAACUGUUCGGCUUGGGGCCGGAGGACCCGAGGGGUACGUCCGGGGUAGGAGUGAAAUCCUGUAAUCCUGGACGGACCGCCGGUGGCGAAAGCGCCUCGGGAAGACGGACCCGACAGUGAGGGACGAAAGCUGGGGUCUCGAACCGGAUUAGAUACCCCUGUAGCC